CAGCCGCCACGGGAAUACAGAGGGUGCGAGCGUUAAUCGGAUUUACUGGGCGUAAAGCGUGCGUAGGCGGCUUUUUAAGUCGGAUGUGAAAUCCCUGAGCUUAACUUAGGAAUUGCAUUCGAUACUGGGAAGCUAGAGUAUGGGAGAGGAUGGUAGAAUUCCAGGUGUAGCGGUGAAAUGCGUAGAGAUCUGGAGGAAUACCGAUGGCGAAGGCAGCCAUCUGGCCUAAUACUGACGCUGAGGUACGAAAGCAUGGGGAGCAAACAGGAUUAGAUCCCGCGUAGUCCCUGUCUCUUAUACA
RNAcentral lists this ribosomal RNA (301 nucleotides) under uncultured bacterium. Its description in RNAcentral is "partial 16S ribosomal RNA". It matches the Rfam family "Bacterial small subunit ribosomal RNA", at positions 509 to 808 of the family's 1533-position model. The record is from RNAcentral.